AAAGAUCCCCUUUGAUGGUGUUACCGAAAGGUAGUAUGAGCUAAACAAAGUCGCACUGUGCCAUCCUAUAAUUUUGUCCAAGAAAAUGUGUCCUCUUCAUGCCAAAUCAACUCCUCAACAUUCUUUGGGCUAAGAAUUAAUGCAUAGUUGCAAAUAACCAUAUACAUUUUGUUAAUUUUAAGAUAAUUAUUUUUAUUAUUUACCUUGAAAUAUGCUCUUUAUUGUAAGAGGAUUAAUUAACUUUGGCCCUUUCCUGGUAUCAUUUAUCCUUGGAUACUGAGUGCGUCUUAUAAUUCUGUUUUCUAUGAAGAACUUUAGAGAUGGAGCUUGUUUGUUGUAUUCACACUUGUAUGAGGCAUUUUGUAAAGAAGUUCUUUACUUUGCAGAUAGAUAGCAUAAUAGAAGCACAGGGCAGACAGAUGAUCUGCAAAGGUCACACUAACAGUGUUUACAUUUAUGUCUGACUCCACUGCCUACUCUCUUUAGGUCAGAAUGCCUCCUAGGCCCUCAAAAGCGGAGGCAGCCAGAAACCCAGCAUUAUUCUUUCUAAUCCUCAGUCCUGUAAAUGAGAAAAUGAUGUCUUACUUUUAUAAAGUACUACUAAUAAUAGGGUCUGCAUAGGGUACAUGAGUGGCAAAGCACCUUCACAAACAUAUCAUUUGGUCUUCUCUUAUCACCCCAGGAAGUGGUGAAGAAGCAGGCAAGUGGGAAACUGAGGCUCGGAAAGCUAAAAUGGCUUGUCUGAGGACCCACAGCUCAAAAACAGCAGUGUUGUGCCUGAAACUUAACACUUUUAGACUGUGGUGCCGAGUUCUGUUCUCUGUACCUCUCUGGUUUUUGGCAUGAAAAUAAAGCAGGGAAAGUUAGCAAAGAAAUUCAUUAACAAAGUUACCAUUUAAAUAACCUCUCCAUCAAAUACAUGGUCUUCAUACUGCAACAUUUCCAGGUGAAUAACUUUGGUGUUUCUCUUCUGACAGUGGCGUUCACAAUACAUACAAGAGGGAGCUUGGAGAUCACACAUUUCCUUACCUUGGAGGCUGAAGAAGAUCCUGGUUUAUGAACUCUCUGUUAGUAAGAAAACCAGCAAAAAGGCCUUUCAGAUUCUCCGUCCCAUAUAGUGUGCUAUUCAGGAGAGCCGAUAGAGGGCGGUUACUGAACACAGAUCGUGUGAAAAUUAACAGCUUCCGAACUGAUUUCUUUGCAUUGGCUUUGUCAGUUUUACUUUCUAUUUCUUGGGAAAUAUUUCUAUUUCUAGUUCUAUUAGAUUUCUAUUUCUAUUCGUUUCUAUUUCUUGGGAGUAUGUCAGGGGAAGGCCAAGAUCAUAGCAGCAACGCAGACAGGAUUUAUGAAGUCUGCUUACCAUUUCUCAUAGAACUCUAGAUUCUCCAAGCCUACAAGAUUCUCCAAGCCUACAAGAUUUAUUCUAAUAACCCCUGAAGUUAAUCAGAUUCAUCUUAUCCCUGACUCCUCACCCCUCUUCUCUCACCAAUACACAUGUCCUCUUGCUCCUGGUAAUAACACAAAAACAACAUGGUUAAAUUUUGGACUGAACAAUUACUAGGCAAGAGAAAGCACAAAAUCCUUUGGUCUUGCACAGCUAAUGGUAAGCAGCAACUGGAAAUAAAAACAAAUACACAUUAUGAGUUCAGCUAUAUCUCAAGUUAGUUUUUUUGCUUUUGCUUUUGUUUUCUUUUCCCUGCUCUAUUAAUGAGUUAAUCAAUUAAGAUUUUCUUUCCUUGCAUGGAAAGAUUUUUGGCUUUGUUUUUAGAUUAAGAAAGCUUUUCUCAGUUUCUUAGUUAAUUAUGAACAUGCACUAUCACAUCAUCUUGGACUCAAUUCAAAAACUUAUCUAAAACAUGUAAUUACUGGGAAAUUCCAGAUUAAUUUCCUGCAAGUUUUAGUUAGUUAACGAUUGUGUUAAACACUUAAGAGAGCAGCUCCUAGAUGACUAAACCUGCUCAGCUGAAAUCAAAUGCUCUCAUGCUUCCCUGAAUGGACACACACAGAGUCUCUUCACCUGAGGAAUAAAGUGUAAGAUCUUCAGAACUUUUAUUCAGGGGAGAAAGGCCCAGGUAGCUGCUGCUGUUCAGCUUAAGGCUAAUCUGACCUUCUAUAACAGGAGUUCAAGUCCCAGAAAUCCCUAGUCCUCCAUCAGAGGCUUCACUCAUUACAGGAGAAGAGAGUCUGGGUUGCUCCCUCAUCAAUCAAGUGCAGAGUCCAGGAAGGGAGAGGCGGGCAGUAACGUGCAUGGAGCUGUCACCUCCUAUGACAACAACACCUUCUGGAAUACCUCCUGAAGGACACGCCUGAGGAUGUUUUACAGUUAACUUUUUAAAAAAUACAUAAGUAGAAAGAGAACACUCUAAAAUAAAAAUAAAAGGUAUAGUAUAAUAAACACAAUAACAAAGUCACUUAUUACUAUCAAGCAUUGUAUGCUGUACAUAAUUGUAUGUGCUAUGCUUUUAUAUGACUAACAGUGCAAUAGAUUUGUUUACACCACCAUCACUAAGGGCAUGCAAGUAAUGUGUUGUGCUACAACAUACUACAACUAUGAUGCCACUAGGUAACAGAAAAUGUUCAGCUCCAUUAUAAUCUUAUGGGACCACCUUCCUAGAUGCAGUCUGUCAUUGAUGGAAACGUUGUUACACAGCACAUGACUAUAGACUAAUAGCCAUAGAUUUAUAAUAUGGGAGGAUGUACUAUAUAUGCAUUGAAAAGAGCUCUGGAAGGAUACCAAUACAUUACCAGAGGUUGCUUCUGGGCCUUAGGGUAUGUGUGGUUUUAUAUUUUCUCCUUUGCACUUUUCUGUGUCGUAUCCAAAAUUUCAACAACAUAAUACAUUUACUGUUAGGAAAAAUAACCUAUUAAUUAAAAACAAGAUACAGGAAAGAGGGAAAUGUUGC
Molecule: long non-coding RNA, 2903 nt
Filed under: Homo sapiens (human)
Lineage: Eukaryota; Metazoa; Chordata; Mammalia; Primates; Hominidae
Description: HSALNT0064194
Source: RNAcentral